This 32-nucleotide non-coding RNA is filed under the name Homo sapiens (human). The record is from RNAcentral. Lineage: Eukaryota; Metazoa; Chordata; Mammalia; Primates; Hominidae.
UACAGUUAAACCUGCGGAUGUGGAUAUUGCCA